GACGAACGCUGGCGGCGUGCUUAACACAUGCAAGUCGAACGGAAAGGCCCUGCUUUUGUGGGGUGCUCGAGUGGCGAACGGGUGAGUAACACGUGAGUAACCUGCCCUUGACUUUGGGAUAACUUCAGGAAACUGGGGCUAAUACCGGAUAGGAGCUCCUGCUGCAUGGUGGGGGUUGGAAAGUUUCGGCGGUUGGGGAUGGACUCGCGGCUUAUCAGCUUGUUGGUGGGGUAGUGGCUUACCAAGGCUUUGACGGGUAGCCGGCCUGAGAGGGUGACCAGCCACAUUGGGACUGAGAUACGGCCCAGACUCCUACGGGAGGCAGCAGUGGGGAAUAUUGCACAAUGGGCGGAAGCCUGAUGCAGCAACGCCGCGUGCGGGAUGACGGCCUUCGGGUUGUAAACCGCUUUCGCCUGUGACGAGGCGUGAGUGACGGUAAUGGGUAAAGAAGCACCGGCUAACUACGUG
Molecule: ribosomal RNA, 468 nt
Filed under: uncultured bacterium
Lineage: Bacteria
Description: partial 16S ribosomal RNA
Rfam family: Bacterial small subunit ribosomal RNA
Source: RNAcentral